Molecule: unclassified non-coding RNA, 380 nt
Filed under: soil metagenome
Description: partial contains 5.8S ribosomal RNA, internal transcribed spacer 2, and large subunit ribosomal RNA
Rfam family: 5.8S ribosomal RNA (bases 1-120)
Source: RNAcentral
GAUGAAGAACGCAGCGAAAUGCUAUAAGUAAUGUGAAUUGCAGAAUUCAGUGAAUCAUCGAAUCUUUGAACGCACCUUGCACCCUUUGGCAUUCUGAAGGGUAUGCUCGUUUGAGUGUCAUUGUACUCUCACACUCCCGAUCUUUGCAUUGGGAGCAGUGGACUUGGGUUUGCUGCUUCACCGUCGCUUACCUCAAAUAGGUUAGUGCAACUCUUGGUUGGACAUAGUACGGCGUGAUAAGUGUUCUUCGCCGGUGCCUCGCAAAGAGGGUGGCCGAUCGGGAUGUUGUGCUCCAAACCGUCUUCGGACAAUCUCUGACGACUUGACCUCAAAUCGAGUAAGACUACCCGCUGAACUUAAGCAUAUCAAUAAGCGGAGGA